UCUCCGUAGGUGAACCUGCGGAGGGAUCAUUACAGGGUUCUCGCCCUCGCGGGUAGAUCUCCCACCCACUGUUAUCGUUACCGUGUUGCUUUGGCGGGCCGCCGGGCCCCGCUCGGCCGCCGGCUCCGGCUGGCGCGCGCCCGCCAGAGGCCCAGCAAACUCUGAAUGUUAGUGUCGUCUGAGUACUAUAUAAUAGUUAAAACUUUCAACAACGGAUCUCUUGGUUCUG
This 229-nucleotide unclassified non-coding RNA is filed under the name plant metagenome. RNAcentral's name for it is "partial contains small subunit ribosomal RNA, internal transcribed spacer 1, and 5.8S ribosomal RNA". The record is from RNAcentral.